CACUAUUCCGCCCGAUCUCAAGGGCAUCAUGGGACAAACCAUGCGCAAGGAUUAC
This 55-nucleotide non-coding RNA is filed under the name Entomoneis paludosa. The record is from RNAcentral. Lineage: Eukaryota; Bacillariophyta; Bacillariophyceae; Surirellales; Surirellaceae.